RNAcentral lists this ribosomal RNA (490 nucleotides) under uncultured bacterium. RNAcentral describes it as "partial 16S ribosomal RNA". It matches the Rfam family "Bacterial small subunit ribosomal RNA", at positions 29 to 506 of the family's 1533-position model. The record is from RNAcentral.
GUGAACGCUGGCGGUAGGCCUAACACAUGCACGUCGAACGGCAGCACAGUAAGAGCUUGCUCUUACGGGUGGCGAGUGGCGGACGGGUGAGGAAUACAUCGGAAUCUACUUUUUCGUGGGGGAUAACGUAGGGAAACUUACGCUAAUACCGCAUACGACCUACGGGUGAAAGCAGGGGAUCUUCGGACCUUGCGCGAUUGAAUGAGCCGAUGUCGGAUUAGCUAGUUGGCGGGGUAAAGGCCCACCAAGGCGACGAUCCGUAGCUGGUCUGAGAGGAUGAUCAGCCACACUGGAACUGAGACACGGUCCAGACUCCUACGGGAGGCAGCAGUGGGGAAUAUUGGACAAUGGGCGCAAGCCUGAUCCAGCCAUACCGCGUGGGUGAAGAAGGCCUUCGGGUUGUAAAGCCCUUUUGUUGGGAAAGAAAAGCAGCAGGUUAAUACCCCGCUGUUCUGACGGUACCCAAAGAAUAAGCACCGGCUAACUUCGU